UUAGAGUUUGAUCAUGGCUCAGGAUGAACGCUAGCGGCAGGCUUAACACAUGCAAGUCGAGGGGCAUCGGGGUAGCAAUACUGCCGGCGACCGGCGCACGGGUGCGUAACGCGUAUGCAACCUACCUAUUACAGGGGUAUAGCCCAGAGAAAUUUGGAUUAAUCCCCCAUAACAUAUUUAAGAGGCAUCUUUUGAAUAUUAAAACUCCGGUGGUAAUAGAUGGGCAUGCGUGACAUUAGUUAGUUGGCGAGGUAACGGCUCACCAAGACAACGAUGUCUAGGGGUUCUAAAAGGAAGAUCCCCCACACUGGUACUGAGACACGGACCAGACUCCUACGGGAGGCAGCAGUGAGGAAUAUUGGUCAAUGGGCGCAAGCCUGAACCAGCCAUGCCGCGUGCAGGAAGACUGCCCUAUGGGUUGUAAACUGCUUUUAUUUGGGAAUAAACCUUAGUACGUGUACUGAGCUGAAUGUACCAAAUGAAUAAGCACCGGCUAACUCCGUGCCAGCAGCCGCGGUAAUACGGAGGGUGCAAGCGUUAUCCGGAUUUAUUAGGUUUAAAGGGUCCGCAGGCGGGGAAAUAAGUCAGUGGUGAAAUACUGCAGCUUAACUGUAGCAAUGCCAUUGAUACUGUAUCUCUUGAGUUCAGAAGAAGUAGGCGGAAUAUGUAAUGUAGCGGUGAAAUGCUUAGAUAUUACAUAGAACACCGAUUGCGAAGGCAGCUUACUAUACUGUAACUGACGCUCAGGGACGAAAGCGUGGGGAGCGAACAGGAUUAGAUACCCUGGUAGUCCACGCCGUAAACGAUGAUUACUAGUUGUUGGCGAUAUACCGUCAGUGACUGAGCGAAAGCGUUAAGUAAUCCACCUGGGGAGUACGACCGCAAGGUUGAAACUCAAAGGAAUUGACGGGGGCCCGCACAAGCGGAGGAACAUGUGGUUUAAUUCGAUGAUACGCGAGGAACCUUACCCGGGCUUAAAUGGGAAACGACAGGUUUGGAAACAGACCCUUCUUCGGACGUUUUUCAAGGUGCUGCAUGGUUGUCGUCAGCUCGUGCCGUGAGGUGUCGGGUUAAGUCCCAUAACGAGCGCAACCCCUAUCGUUAGUUGCCAACAGGUCAAGCUGGGGACUCUAAUGAGACUGCCAUCGUAAGAUGUGAGGAAGGUGGGGAUGACGUCAAAUCAGCACGGCCCUUAUGUCCGGGGCUACACACGUGUUACAAUGGUAACUACAGAGGGCAGCGACUUGGCAACAAGGAGCUAAUCCUAAAAAGUUAUCUCAGUUCGGAUCGUAGUCUGCAACUCGACUACGUGAAGUUGGAUUCGCUAGUAAUCGCGCAUCAGCCAUGGCGCGGUGAAUACGUUCCCGGGCCUUGUACACACCGCCCGUCAAGCCAUGGAAGCUGGGGGUGCCUAAAGUCCGUAACCGCGAGGGACGGCCUAGGGCAAAACUAGUAACUAGGGCUAAGUCGUAACAAGGUAGCCAAGGGCGAA
RNAcentral lists this ribosomal RNA (1492 nucleotides) under uncultured prokaryote. RNAcentral describes it as "bacterial SSU rRNA". It matches the Rfam family "Bacterial small subunit ribosomal RNA". The record is from RNAcentral.